This 301-nucleotide ribosomal RNA is filed under the name uncultured bacterium. Its description in RNAcentral is "partial 16S ribosomal RNA". It matches the Rfam family "Bacterial small subunit ribosomal RNA", at positions 509 to 807 of the family's 1533-position model. The record is from RNAcentral.
CAGUCGCCGCGGGAAUACGUAGGUGGCAAGCGUUGUCCGGAAUUAUUGGGCGUAAAGGGCGCGUAGGCGGCGAUCAAAGUCAGGCGUGAAAUUCCUGGGCUCAACCUGGGGGCUGCGUUUGAUACUUGAUUGCUAGAGUGGGGAAGAGGGUCGUGGAAUUACCAGUGUAGAGGUGAAAUUCGUAGAUAUUGGGGAGAACACCAGUGGCGAAGGCGGCGACCUGGUCCUUGACUGACACUGAGAGACGAAAGCUAGGGGAGCAAAUGGGAUUAGAUACCCCAGUAGUCCCUGUCUCUUAUAC